ACGAACGCUGGCGGUGUGCUUCACACAUGCCAGUCGAACGGUAAGGCCCUUUCGGGGGUACACGAGUGGCGAACGGGUGAGUAACACGUGAGUAACCUGCCCUCAUCUCUGGGAUAACAGUCGGAAACGGUUGCUAAUACUGGAUAUGAGCUUGCAAGGCAUCUUGUGGGUUGGAAAGAUUUUUUUUGGUUGGGGAUGGACUCGCGGCCUAUCAGCUUGUUGGUGAGGUAGUGGCUCACCAAGGCUUCGACGGGUAGCCGGCCUGAGAGGGCGACCGGCCACAUUGGGACUGAGAUACGGCCCAAACUCCUACGGGAGGCAGCAGUGGGGAAUAUUGCACAAUGGACGGAAGUCUGAUGCAGCAACGCCGCGUGCGGGAUGACGGCCUUCGGGUUGUAAACCGCUUUCAAUUGUGACGAAGCUUUUUUGUGACGGUAGCAGUAGAAGAAGCACCGGCUAACUACGUG
This 467-nucleotide ribosomal RNA is filed under the name uncultured bacterium. RNAcentral describes it as "partial 16S ribosomal RNA". It matches the Rfam family "Bacterial small subunit ribosomal RNA", at positions 29 to 507 of the family's 1533-position model. The record is from RNAcentral.